This 910-nucleotide long non-coding RNA is filed under the name Mytilus galloprovincialis (Mediterranean mussel). The record is from RNAcentral. Lineage: Eukaryota; Metazoa; Mollusca; Bivalvia; Mytilida; Mytilidae.
UGAUAAUGAUUUUUUUUUAUUUGUUGUGGAAACAAAUGUCUCAAAAAUAUCAGAUUCAUCCAUUGGAUUUAAUAUUGUCAUGGAAACAUGUCUGUGUUUUGAUGCAUUACCAUUUUACUUGUAAUCUAAAUUUGCCAUAAUUAAAUGAUCUGUAUGUUAAAGGUAUUGGACCCAAUAUUUUCAUGAAAGGAUCUUGCAUAAUAAGUUUUUAAAAAUAUCUUAACUUUUCGCAGUUAGAUAAAUAUCAAUAUAUGUAACAGCAGUGCUUACAACCAAACUGGAAUUUUUUCAGUAAUUGUUAAGCAAACUUGAAUAGAUCUAUUAUAUUGUAACUUUGCGCUAUUUUCAUGAAAAAUUUGCAUUCUGCAAUAUUGCCGUAAUUAAGACUGUAUCAUCUCAAAGGUUUUAUUUAUAGGAAAACAUAAUUUAGACCUAAAUAGUUAAUAAAUUUAAAUAACUUUUUAAAUGAUAAAAAAAAUCCUUGAUUACUAAUUUGACAUUUGAAAAAAAAUCAGAGUAAUUGUAUAAUAGAAAUAUCUUUAGCAGAAAUAGGGAUCAAGUUAAUUCCUGAUAUAAAUGCUUACUCAUUUAAACAUAUAACCAGAUGCUCCGCAGGGCGUAGCUUUAUACGACCGCAGAGGUUGAACCCUGAACGGUUGGGGCAAGUAGGACAACAUUCAGCUGGAUUCAGCUCUAAAUUUGGAUUGUGAUUAAAUAGUUGACACAGCAUAGGUUUCUGACACAGAAUGAAUGUGUUCUAAUGAACUUAAAAUUUUUGUUUUCUCUUAGAGCAAUUCACUAUGCUGUUGAAUAUUAAUCCUCUCAAAAAAAUGUUUGAAGAAAUUUUCUUUUUUAUUUAUGAAAUUUCAAAUGAGAAAAAUUGAUCCCAAUUUUUUUAAUCACAUCCCCC